GCUCUUCUGAUCUGCUUGUGGGAUGUUGGCUGUUUUUGUAGAACGGAGAUUGGACUAUAUGAAA
Molecule: long non-coding RNA, 64 nt
Organism: Oxyura jamaicensis (ruddy duck)
Lineage: Eukaryota; Metazoa; Chordata; Aves; Anseriformes; Anatidae
Exons: 3
Source: RefSeq, a predicted model, not a curated record